This 406-nucleotide ribosomal RNA is filed under the name uncultured bacterium. Its description in RNAcentral is "partial 16S ribosomal RNA". It matches the Rfam family "Bacterial small subunit ribosomal RNA", at positions 30 to 526 of the family's 1533-position model. The record is from RNAcentral.
AUUGAACGCUGGCGGCAGGCCUAACACAUGCAAGUCGAACGAGUGGCGGACGGGUGAGUAAUGUCUGGGAAACUGCCCGAUGGAGGGGGAUAACUACUGGAAACGGUAGCUAAUACCGCAUACCAUCGGAUGUGCCCAGAUGGGAUUAGCUAGUAGGUGGGGUAACGGCUCACCUAGGCGACGAUCCCUAGCUGGUCUGAGAGGGUGACCAGCCACACUGGAACUGUGGCACGGGCCAAGCUCCUACGGGGGGCAGCAGGGGGGAAGAUUGCACAAAGGGGGCAAGCCUUGUGCAGCCAUUCCGGGGGUAUGAAGAAGGCCUUCGGGUUUUAAAGUACUUUCAGCGAGGGGGCGUUUCUCGCAGGAGAAGCACCGGCUAACUCCGUGCCAGCAGCCGCGGUAAUUC